UUUCCGUAGGUGAACCUGCGGAAGGAUCAUUCAUAAUAAGUGUUUUAUGGCACUUUUUUAAAUCCAUAUCCACCUUGUGUGCAAUGUCAGGGUUGAUUUUUCUCUCGAGAGGAUCAACCCCAAACAUCAACUAUAUCUCAACUCUUUGUCUGAAAAAUAUUAUGAAUAAAACAAUUCAAAAUACAACUCUCAACAACGGAUCUCUUGGCUCUC
This 213-nucleotide unclassified non-coding RNA is filed under the name plant metagenome. RNAcentral's name for it is "partial contains small subunit ribosomal RNA, internal transcribed spacer 1, and 5.8S ribosomal RNA". The record is from RNAcentral.